RNAcentral lists this ribosomal RNA (484 nucleotides) under uncultured bacterium. Its description in RNAcentral is "partial 16S ribosomal RNA". It matches the Rfam family "Bacterial small subunit ribosomal RNA", at positions 30 to 507 of the family's 1533-position model. The record is from RNAcentral.
AUUGAAUGCUGGCGGAAUGCUUUACACAUGCAAGUCGAACGGCAGCACGGGGGCAGCCCUGGUGGCGAGUGGCGAACGGGUGAGUAAUACAUCGGAACGUGCCCGGUCGUGGGGGAUAACGUAGCGAAAGUUACGCUAAUACCGCAUACGAUCUGAGGAUGAAAGCGGGGGACCUUCGGGCCUCGCGCGAUCGGAGCGGCCGAUGUCAGAUUAGGUAGUUGGUGGGGUAAAGGCCUACCAAGCCGACGAUCUGUAGCUGGUCUGAGAGGACGACCAGCCACACUGGGACUGAGACACGGCCCAGACUCCUACGGGAGGCAGCAGUGGGGAAUUUUGGACAAUGGGCGCAAGCCUGAUCCAGCCAUUCCGCGUGCAGGACGAAGGCCUUCGGGUUGUAAACUGCUUUUGUACGGAACGAAAAGGCUCUGGCUAAUACCUGGGGCUCAUGACGGUACCGUAAGAAUAAGCACCGGCUAACUACGUG